GGACACGUGAAAUCCUGUCUGAAGAUGGGGGGACCAUCCUCCAAGGCUAAAUACUCGUAAUCGACCGAUAGUGAACCAGUACCGUGAGGGAAAGGCGAAAAGAACCCCGGGAGGGGAGUGAAAUAGAACCUGAAACCGUGUGCAUACAAACAGUCGGAGCCUCGCAAGGGGUGACGGCGUACCUUUUGUAUAAUGGGUCAGCGACUUACAUUCAGUGGCGAGGUUAACCGCAUAGGGAAGCCGAAGCGAAAGCGAGUCCGAACAGGGCGAUUCAGUCGCUGGGUGUAGACCCGAAACCAAGUGAUCUACUCAUGGCCAGGAUGAAGGUGCCGUAACAGGUACUGGAGGUCCGAACCCACUAAUGUUGAAAAAUUAGGGGAUGAGCUGUGGGUAGGGGUGAAAGGCUAAACAAACUUGGAAAUAGCUGGUUCUCUCCGAAAACUAUUUAGGUAGUGCCUCAAGUAUCACCAUCGGGGGUAGAGCACUGUUAUGGCUAGGGGGUCAUCGCGACUUACCAAACCAUUGCAAACUCCGAAUACCGAUGAGUGCGAGCUUGGGAGACAGACGUCGGGUGCUAACGUCCGGCGUCAAGAGGGAAACAACCCAGACCGCCAGCUAAGGUCCCAAAGAUUGGCUAAGUGGAAAACGAAGUGGGAAGGCUAAAACAGUCAGGAGGUUGGCUUAGAAGCAGCCACCCUUUAAAGAAAGCGUAAUAGCUCACUGAUCGAGUCGUCCUGCGCGGAAGAUGUAACGGGGCUAAGCCAGUCACCGAAGCUGCGGAUAUGCGUAAGCAUAUGGUAGGAGAGCGUUCUGUAAGCCUGCGAAGGUGUCUUGUAAAGGAUGCUGGAGGUAUCAGAAGUGCGAAUGCUGACAUGAGUAGCGAUAAUGCGGGUGAAAAGCCCGCACGCCGUAAGCCCAAGGUUUCCUGUUCAACGUUCAUCGGAGCAGGGUGAGUCGGCCCCUAAGGCGAGGCAGAGAUGCGUAGCUGAUGGGAAGCAGGUUAAUAUUCCUGCACCGUCGUUAGAUGCGAUGGGGGGACGGAUCGCGGAAGGUUGUCCGGGUGUUGGAAGUCCCGGUUCUUGACCUGGAGAAGGCUGUUAGGCAAAUCCGGCAGCGUAAUUCAAGGGGUUGAGACGAGCGAGCUUGCUCGCGAAGCAAUCGGAAGGGGUCCCAAGAAAAGCCUCUAAGCUUCAGUCUAACGAGACCGUACCGCAAACCGACACAGGUGGGCGAGAUGAGUAUUCUAAGGCGCUUGAGAGAACUCGGGAGAAGGAACUCGGCAAAUUGGUACCGUAACUUCGGGAUAAGGUACGCCCUAGUAGCUUGACUGUGAACAACAGAAGGGCAAAUGGGUUGCAAAAAAAUGGUGGCUGCGACUGUUUAAUAAAAACACAGCACUCUGCAAACACGAAAGUGGACGUAUAGGGUGUGACGCCUGCCCGGUGCUGGAAGAUUAAAUGAUGGGGUGCAAGCUCUUGAUUGAAGUCCCAGUAAACGGCGGCCGUAACUAUAACGGUCCUAAGGUAGCGAAAUUCCUUGUCGGGUAAGUUCC
This 1552-nucleotide ribosomal RNA is filed under the name freshwater metagenome. RNAcentral's name for it is "bacterial LSU rRNA". It matches the Rfam family "Bacterial large subunit ribosomal RNA", at positions 420 to 1984 of the family's 2925-position model. The record is from RNAcentral.